RNAcentral lists this ribosomal RNA (433 nucleotides) under uncultured bacterium. RNAcentral's name for it is "partial 16S ribosomal RNA". It matches the Rfam family "Bacterial small subunit ribosomal RNA", at positions 29 to 507 of the family's 1533-position model. The record is from RNAcentral.
AACGAACGCUGGCGGCAUGCCUAACACAUGCAAGUCGAACGAGACCUUCGGGUCUAGUGGCGCACGGGUGCGUAACGCGUGGGAACCUGCCCUUAGGUUCGGAAUAACUCCCCGAAAGGGGUACUAAUACCGGAUAAUGUCUUCGGACCAAAGAUUUAUCGCCUUUGGAUGGGCCCGCGUUGGAUUAGCUAGUUGGUAGGGUAAAAGCCUACCAAGGCGACGAUCCAUAGCUGGUCUGAGAGGAUGAUCAGCCACACUGGGACUGAGACACGGCCCAGACUACUACGGGAGGCAGCAGUGGGGAAUAUUGGAAAAUGGGCGAAAGCCUGAUCCAGCAAUGCCGCGUGAGUGAUGAAGGCCUUAGGGUUGUAAAGCUCUUUUACCCGGGAUGAUAAUGACAGUACCGGGAGAAUAAGCUCCGGCUAACUCCGUG